This 191-nucleotide unclassified non-coding RNA is filed under the name Glomeraceae sp. Its description in RNAcentral is "partial contains 5.8S ribosomal RNA and internal transcribed spacer 2". Lineage: Eukaryota; Fungi; Glomeromycota; Glomeromycetes; Glomerales; Glomeraceae. The record is from RNAcentral.
GUGAAUCAUCGAAUUUUUGAACGCAAAUUGCACUCUUUUCUGAGCGUAUGCCCGCUUGAGGGUCAGAAUUAAUAAAAAUCGGUGUGUUGCUUCUUUGUGAUGUUCCGGAGUUUGGGUUAUCUUAAUAUCCGUUAGGUUUUAAGAUGCUUAAAUUUGACUUUUUUUGCGCAUUUUAGAUGUAUAAACAUUCU